CCGGAGCUGACAUCAAAGUGCUCAUCAACUUCAAUGCACCCAAUCCUCAGGACCGCAAAAAAUUUACUGAUGACUUGCGAGAAUCAAUCGCCGAAGUCCAAGAGAUGGAGAAGUAUCGGAUAGAAUCUGAGCUAGAAAAACAGAAAGGGGUGGUGAGGCCCAGCAUGUCCCAGAGUUCUGGGUUAAAGAAGGAAACAGGAAACGGCAACCUGAGCCGAGCGAGCCUCGAUGACAGCUAUGCCAUUGGCGAAGGUUUGAAGAGGAGCGCCCUCAGCAGCUCCCUACGUGACCUCUCAGAUGCAGGCAAGCGUGGGAGACGCAGCAGC
Molecule: long non-coding RNA, 326 nt
Organism: Lates calcarifer (barramundi perch)
Lineage: Eukaryota; Metazoa; Chordata; Actinopteri; Centropomidae
Exons: 3
Source: RefSeq, a predicted model, not a curated record